GACGAACGCUGGCGGCGUGCCUAAUACAUGCAAGUAGAACGCACAGUUUAUACCGUAGCUUGCUACACCAUAGACUGUGAGUUGCGAACGGGUGAGUAACGCGUAGGUAACCUGCCUGGUAGCGGGGGAUAACUAUUGGAAACGAUAGCUAAUACCGCAUAAUAUUGAUUAUUGCAUGAUAAUUGAUUGAAAGAUGCUAUUGCAUCACUACCAGAUGGACCUGCGUUGUAUUAGCUAGUAGGUGAGGUAACGGCUCACCUAGGCGACGAUACAUAGCCGACCUGAGAGGGUGAUCGGCCACACUGGGACUGAGACACGGCCCAGACUCCUACGGGAGGCAGCAGUAGGGAAUCUUCGGCAAUGGACGAAAGUCUGACCGAGCAACGCCGCGUGAGGGAAGAAGGUUUUCGGAUCGUAAAGAUCUGUUGGAAGAGAAGAACGGGUGUGAGAGUGGAAAGUUCACACUGUGACGGUAUCUUACCAGAAAGGGACGGCUAACUACGUG
This 505-nucleotide ribosomal RNA is filed under the name uncultured bacterium. RNAcentral describes it as "partial 16S ribosomal RNA". It matches the Rfam family "Bacterial small subunit ribosomal RNA", at positions 28 to 507 of the family's 1533-position model. The record is from RNAcentral.